GAGGAAGUGUGUGCAGCAAGAUAGCCAUGAUGGAUUGGAGCUUGGGAGGUUUAGCUGUUGCUGGAUUGCUGAUGGUUGUAUGAAGAGGCCUCUGUGCAUUGUGGCAUGUCUGGAGUAGAGCUGGCCAUAUUCAUUUCAAAGCAUGUGCUCACUUGAGAAACCCUGAUAAAACUUUUAUGCAGGUCAUGAGGUAAAAGUGUUGGUGCACAAUUGAAAUCCUCCAACAGUUUCUGUGCAACUUUU
Molecule: long non-coding RNA, 243 nt
Filed under: Vitis vinifera (wine grape)
Lineage: Eukaryota; Viridiplantae; Streptophyta; Magnoliopsida; Vitales; Vitaceae
Description: long non-coding RNA (VVIN_LNC007116)
Source: RNAcentral